AGGAAGAGGGUCAAAGCAAAGCCAACUGGGGACCCCAGCUGAUUCUGCUGCUUCUUCCACUAAACACAUCCAUAAUAUUCUCUUUGGUAAUACUGCAGAUUUCCAAAUGUGCCAAAACAGCUAAGCAAAAAGCAUCAUUCCAACACGUUUAAUGACUGCUUUGGGAGCCCAACUUUAACAGUGAGACAGGCACAAAAGCAGUAGAGCUGUCCCACGUGGAAUGGGCUAUCUCGUGACACUGUGACCCCCUUUCUUUCACCCUGGGUCUUCAAAAAGAGAAUGGAUGACACUGUGAUGAGGAGGGGUCUCUAUAUUGGUGACAGGCCAAAAUACAGGACUACCUACAGUCCUUUUGCAGUCCAUAAUCCUCAAGUCCCUCAGCUCUUCCAUGUAGCCACCUUCUAGACUACACUUAAAAUGCAUCCUGAACGUUUGUAAAGUACCCUGAAGGAACCCAUUCCAGUUCUGAAUCCGAUUACUAGGUUCAAGCCACACAAAUAACAACAGUGCAGCUAGUCUGAGCUAGAGGCUUCUUUACCUAACUGCAAAGUAAAUGUCCUUUCUAUUCAGCCGCAUCUAGCUCUUGACCCUAUGUUUACCAUAGAUACCAGUUCUUCUCACUUAGAUUCUCUGACUUAUCAGAGUAUUAUAGAGCAAACAUUAGCUAUGCCUGUGUCUUGAGUUGUGUCAAUCUGUAAUGAAAAUGUGCCAGCUUUAUCAUCACUCACAGACUUCUUAAUUAACCUUCUGAUAUUGUCAAAAUCGCACUCUCUUUUGUUCUAGAAAUGAGCAUUUACAUGUGCAUUUUUUUCCUUCAUUGCUUUUUUACUGGCUAAGGUUUUACCAAAUCCUGAUGUUCUUUAAAAAGUGUAUUCUGCAAAAACAAAAGAAAGCAAUAAUUAUAGACACUACAAUAUAGAAUUUCUUCCC
Long non-coding RNA from Pan troglodytes (chimpanzee), 930 nucleotides. RefSeq lists it as uncharacterized. The record is from RefSeq and is a predicted model, not a curated record. The transcript has 3 exons. NCBI's taxonomy places the organism in Eukaryota, Metazoa, Chordata, Mammalia, Primates, Hominidae.